Molecule: long non-coding RNA, 524 nt
Organism: Mercenaria mercenaria
Lineage: Eukaryota; Metazoa; Mollusca; Bivalvia; Venerida; Veneridae
Exons: 2
Source: RefSeq, a predicted model, not a curated record
UGAAAAUAGCAAUUGUACAGAUUUAUUUUCGUUUUAAUACAUGAGGUGGUCAGAUUUAAAAACAGAUUUAGUUUAGUUCUAUUCAGUAAGACAUUUCUCCUAUGCACUAAUUGAAACUUUGAACUAACUUUUGCCAUUCAUGAAUUUUUAAUAAAGUAUUUUGAAAGGAUUUAUAAAUCUAACCAAAAAUUUGGAAAAAUACAGAUACGUGUUUGUCAUAUUAGGAGGCAAUAGCAUCAACCGCAGCACAAGCCCAGGGGAAAUCUUCAACGAUUUGAAAACGAUGGUGGAGGAACUACGGCAAUGCGGCGUGGAAAGAGUAUUUGUGUGCUCUAUUUUAGAAAGGGGACUACGUGGAUCUGGGAAAAAGGAUUAAGUAUCCAACUCAUUAUUGUCAAGACCUUGUGCAUCCGGGGACAAGUGGACUUAUUAAAAUACACAGUGCUGUAAUUCAUUGCUUUCAAUCAACAGUGCCAAGGAGUAUUGUCACGCGUAAAUGAAUAAAUGACUCGUUGUGAAGAAUU